RNAcentral lists this unclassified non-coding RNA (238 nucleotides) under Hevea brasiliensis (rubber tree). Lineage: Eukaryota; Viridiplantae; Streptophyta; Magnoliopsida; Malpighiales; Euphorbiaceae. The record is from RNAcentral.
GUGCAUGUUGUGUUGGGUUUGUUAUUAGAUUUAUAUAGCUUGUGGAAUGGAUUUUAACCUUAAAAAUUGACUGAGAAAUUUUGUGGUGACUAAAUUUGAUUUAUUUUGUGCUAGUGGAUGCAUACCCACACACACCCACGAACAUCAGUUUGCACUAGGCAUUUAUAUCAGUUUGCAAUCAUAUUGAUACAAGAAAACCCUGUAUGCAAACAUGAUGGGUUGUAAAAUCUGCAAUAAG